Spodoptera litura is the source of this 558-nucleotide long non-coding RNA. RefSeq lists it as uncharacterized. Lineage: Eukaryota; Metazoa; Arthropoda; Insecta; Lepidoptera; Noctuidae. The record is from RefSeq and is a predicted model, not a curated record.
UCACGGUUUCAAAACUAAACUUUGUAUAUGGAAGCCAACCUUCGGUUUGAUGGCCUGAUCAGUGGCAUAAAUACCGACUGCAUUGUAUAGCUUAUGUCAAAAUAUUGAUCGUGACCUGCGCAGUGCAGCUAGACUGAACUAGACUAGACCUCCAUUGUGCACUCAAUGCGUCACACGCCGUCCGCCGGGAGUGACGUGCUGCUAGCCCUUGGAUCCGAAACUGUUACUGCAUCCUUCCAUUUCUGUCUGCCUCUUCAGGUUUACGAAGGGGUCUGGAGAUCGUGAGGUUCUACUAGCUGGUGGUUGGAGCCGCAAGCAGUCAUGCAGAUCUGGUGCUGGGAGUCAACACUAGGAUAUGGAGGGCCGUUGUGGACCUUCAAUUCCGAGGAGCAGAAUGGCCAGGUUCCUUCGUCCUGUCGAUUCCGAAGAUUUUCAUCAGCCUGUUCCGAGCCCCGUGACUUAUGACCCCCACUUACUCCCCACGGGGUGUAAGUGGCUUCUCACAGGCCAAAGUCAACCUCACCUGCUCGCGGUACACCCUGCUAACCCACUAACGAG